UACGGAGGGUGCAAGCGUUAUCCGGAUUCACUGGGUUUAAAGGGUGCGUAGGCGGGUAGGUAAGUCAGUGGUGAAAUCCCCGAGCUCAACUUGGGAACUGCCGUUGAUACUAUCUAUCUUGAAUGUUGUGGAGGUGAGCGGAAUAUGUCAUGUAGCGGUGAAAUGCUUAGAUAUGACAUAGAACACCAAUUGCGAAGGCAGCUCGCUACGCAAUUAUUGACGCUGAGGCACGAAAGCGUGGGGAUCAAACAGG
This 253-nucleotide ribosomal RNA is filed under the name uncultured bacterium. RNAcentral describes it as "partial 16S ribosomal RNA". It matches the Rfam family "Bacterial small subunit ribosomal RNA", at positions 524 to 776 of the family's 1533-position model. The record is from RNAcentral.